RNAcentral lists this ribosomal RNA (754 nucleotides) under uncultured Lactobacillus sp. Its description in RNAcentral is "bacterial SSU rRNA". It matches the Rfam family "Bacterial small subunit ribosomal RNA", at positions 746 to 1505 of the family's 1533-position model. Lineage: Bacteria; Bacillati; Bacillota; Bacilli; Lactobacillales; Lactobacillaceae. The record is from RNAcentral.
CUGAGCUCGAAAGUAUGGGUAGCAAACAGGAUUAGAUACCCUGGUAGUCCAUACCGUAAACGAUGAAUGCUAAGUGUUGGAGGUUUCCCCUUCAGUGCUGCAGCUAACGCAUUAAGCAUUCCGCUGGGGAGUACGGCCGCAAGGCUGAAACUCAAAGGAAUUGACGGGGGCCCGCACAAGCGGUGGAGCAUGUGGUUUAAUUCGAAGCUACGCGAAGAACCUUACCAGGUCUUGACAUACUAUGCAAAUCUAAGAGAUUAGACGUUCCCUUCGGGGACAUGGAUACAGGUGGUGCAUGGUUGUCGUCAGCUCGUGUCGUGAGAUGUUGGGUUAAGUCCCGCAACGAGCGCAACCCUUAUUAUCAGUUGCCAGCAUUAAGUUGGGCACUCUGGUGAGACUGCCGGUGACAAACCGGAGGAAGGUGGGGAUGACGUCAAAUCAUCAUGCCCCUUAUGACCUGGGCUACACACGUGCUACAAUGGAUGGUACAACGAGUUGCGAACUCGCGAGAGUAAGCUAAUCUCUUAAAGCCAUUCUCAGUUCGGAUUGUAGGCUGCAACUCGCCUACAUGAAGUCGGAAUCGCUAGUAAUCGCGGAUCAGCAUGCCGCGGUGAAUACGUUCCCGGGCCUUGUACACACCGCCCGUCACACCAUGAGAAUUUGUAACACCCAAAGUCGGUGGGGUAACCUUUAGGAACCAGCCGCCUAAGGUGGGACAGAUGAUUAGGGUGAAGUCGUAACAAGGUAAGCCGAA